CACGGAGUUAGCCGGAGCUUAUUCUCCAGGUACUGUCAUUAUCAUCCCUGGUAAAAGAGCUUUACAACCCUAAGGCCUUCAUCACUCACGCGGCAUUGCUGGAUCAGGGUUUCCCCCAUUGUCCAAUAUUCCCCACUGCUGCCUCCCGUAGGAGUCUCGGGCCGUGUCUCAGUCCCAGUGUGGCUGAUCAUCCUCUCAGACCAGCUAAGGAUCGUCGGCUUGGUAGGCCAUUACCCCACCAACUACCUAAUCCUACGCGGGCUCAUCCCUUGCCGAUAAAUCUUUGGUCCGAAGACAUCAUCCGGUAUUAGCAGCAAUUUCUCACUGUUAUUCCCGAAGCAAGGGGCAGAUUCCCACGCGUUACGCACCCGUGCGCCACUAGAUCCGAAGAUCUCGUUCGACUUGCAUGUGUUAGGCAUGCCGCCAGCGUUCGUUCUGAGCAGGAUCAACUC
Molecule: ribosomal RNA, 452 nt
Filed under: uncultured Novosphingobium sp.
Lineage: Bacteria; Pseudomonadati; Pseudomonadota; Alphaproteobacteria; Sphingomonadales; Sphingomonadaceae
Description: partial 16S ribosomal RNA
Source: RNAcentral